GAUGAACGCUGGCGGCGUGCCUAACACAUGCAAGUCGAGCGGAGAUUACUGCCUAGCAAUAGAAGGUAAUUUUAGCGGCGGACGGGUGAGUAACACGUGAGUAACCUGCCUUCAACUGGGGAAUAACACCGUGAAAACGGUGCUAAUACCGCAUAAUGUUGUCUUACGGCAUCGUAGGACAACCAAAGGAGCAAUCCGGUAGAAGAUGGACUCGCGUCCGAUUAGCUGGUUGGCGGGGUAACGGCCCACCAAGGCGACGAUCGGUAGCCGAACUGAGAGGUUGAUCGGCCACAUUGGGACUGAGACACGGCCCAGACUCCUACGGGAGGCAGCAGUGGGGAAUAUUGGGCAAUGGGCGAAAGCCUGACCCAGCAACGCCGCGUGAAGGAAGAAGGCCUUCGGUUGUAAACGUUCUUUGUAACAGGACGAAAAAUAAGACGGUACCUGAAAACAAAGACCAACGCGUAACUACGUAGCCACGCAGCCGCGGUAAGUAGUCGACGUCG
Molecule: ribosomal RNA, 506 nt
Filed under: uncultured bacterium
Lineage: Bacteria
Description: bacterial SSU rRNA
Rfam family: Bacterial small subunit ribosomal RNA
Source: RNAcentral